This 108-nucleotide ribosomal RNA is filed under the name Acanthosepion pharaonis. Lineage: Eukaryota; Metazoa; Mollusca; Cephalopoda; Sepiida; Sepiidae. The record is from RNAcentral.
UUACGGCCAUAUCACGCUGAAACACCGAUUCUCGUAUGAUCACCGAAGUUAAACAACGUUGUGCAUGGUCAGUACCUAGAUGGGGGUCCGCUUGGGAAUAUCGAGUGG